GAUGAACGCUCACUACAGGCUUAACACAUGCAAGUCGAGGGGAAACGGCAUUGAGUGCUUGCACUCUUUGGACGUCGACCGGCGCACGGGUGAGUAACGCGUAUCCAACCUUCCCAUUACUGUGGGAUAACCUGCCGAAAGGCAGACUAAUACCGCAUAGUCUUCGAUGACGGCAUCAGAUUUGAAGUAAAGAUUUAUCGGUAAUGGAUGGGGAUGCGUCUGAUUAGCUUGUUGGCGGGGUAACGGCCCACCAAGGCUACGAUCAGUAGGGGUUCUGAGAGGAAGGUCCCCCACAUUGGAACUGAGACACGGUCCAAACUCCUACGGGAGGCAGCAGUGAGGAAUAUUGGUCAAUGGACGGAAGUCUGAACCAGCCAAGUAGCGUGCAGGAUGACGGCCCUAUGGGUUGUAAACUGCUUUUGUAUGGGGAUAAAGUUAGGGACGUGUCCCUAUUUGCAGGUACCAUACGAAUAAGGACCGGCUAAUUCCGUG
This 492-nucleotide ribosomal RNA is filed under the name uncultured bacterium. Its description in RNAcentral is "partial 16S ribosomal RNA". It matches the Rfam family "Bacterial small subunit ribosomal RNA", at positions 28 to 507 of the family's 1533-position model. The record is from RNAcentral.